AUUGAACGCUGGCGGCAGGCCUAACACAUGCAAGUCGAGCGGUAACAGGAAGAUUCUUGCUGCUUUGCGGGGGAGUGGGGGGCGUGAUGGUUAUGUCUGUGAAAGUUCGUGGGGGAUGGGGAUAGCUAAUGGGAACGGAAACUAAUACCGCAUAGUGUCGGAAAACCAAGGAUGGUGAGCUUCGGGCCUCUUGGCUUAGGAUAGGCCCAGAUGGGAUUAGCUAGUAGGUGGGGUAAAGGCUCACCUAGGCGACGAUCCGUAGCUGGUCUGAGAGGAUGACCAGCCACACUGGAACUGAGACACGGUCCAGACUCCUACGGGAGGCAGCAGUGGGGAAUAUUGCACAAUGGGCGAAAGCCUGAUGCAGCCAUGCCGCGUGUAUGAAGAAGGUCUUCGGGUUGUAAAGCACUUUAAGUGGGGAGGAAGGGAGUAAAGUUAAUACCUUGCCGUAUUGACGUUACCCGCAGAAGAAGCACCGGCUAACUCCGUG
RNAcentral lists this ribosomal RNA (490 nucleotides) under uncultured bacterium. RNAcentral describes it as "partial 16S ribosomal RNA". It matches the Rfam family "Bacterial small subunit ribosomal RNA", at positions 30 to 507 of the family's 1533-position model. The record is from RNAcentral.